RNAcentral lists this ribosomal RNA (460 nucleotides) under uncultured bacterium. RNAcentral describes it as "partial 16S ribosomal RNA". It matches the Rfam family "Bacterial small subunit ribosomal RNA", at positions 338 to 795 of the family's 1533-position model. The record is from RNAcentral.
GCUACGGGGUGCAGCAGUGAGGAAUAUUGGUCAAUGGGCGAGAGCCUGAACCAGCCAAGUCGCGUGAAGGAUGACGGCCCUACGGGUUGUAAACUUCUUUUGUCAGGGAGCAAUUGGGUCCACGCGUGGGCUUAGCGAGAGUACCUGAAGAAAAAGCAUCGGCUAACUCCGUGCCAGCAGCCGCGGUAAUACGGAGGAUGCGAGCGUUAUCCGGAUUUCUUGGGUUGAAAGGGUGCGUAGGCGGAAUAUCAAGUCAGCGGUAAAAAGUCGGGGCUCAAACCCGUCGUGCAGUUGAAACUGAUGUUCUUGAGUGGGCGAGAAGUAUGCGGAAUGCGUGGAGUAGCGGUGAAAUGCAUAGAUAUCACGCAGAACCCCGAUUGCGAAGGCAGCAUACCGGCGCCCGACUGACGCUGAAGCACGAAAGCGUGGGUAUCGAACAGGAUUAGAGACCCGUGUAGUC